CCUACGGGUGGCAGCAGUGAGGAAUAUUGGUCAAUGGGCGCAAGCCUGAACCAGCCAAGUCGCGUGAGGGAUGACGGUCCUAUGGAUUGUAAACCUCUUUUGUCGGGGAGCACGGCCCGCCACGUGUGGCGGGAAGGAGAGUACCCGAAGAAAAAGCAUCGGCUAACUCAGUGCCAGCAGCCGCGGUAAUACGUAGGGGGCAAGCGUUAUCCGGAUUUACUGGGUGUAAGGGGAGCGUAGACGGCGGGCCAAGUCUGGUGUGAAAGGCCGGGGCUCAACCCCGGGACUGCAUUGGAAACUGGCAUGCUGGAGUGACGGAGGGGCAAGCGGAA
This 332-nucleotide ribosomal RNA is filed under the name uncultured bacterium. RNAcentral's name for it is "partial 16S ribosomal RNA". It matches the Rfam family "Bacterial small subunit ribosomal RNA", at positions 338 to 666 of the family's 1533-position model. The record is from RNAcentral.